GCUCCCACUAUAAACUUAAAUAUGAGUCAUAAUUGCAGCUCAAACAAACGACUUAUGUGGGCGUUUUUUGGGGGAGGACAAACUCGUGGUUACUUUUAG
Molecule: long non-coding RNA, 99 nt
Organism: Etheostoma cragini (Arkansas darter)
Lineage: Eukaryota; Metazoa; Chordata; Actinopteri; Perciformes; Percidae
Exons: 3
Source: RefSeq, a predicted model, not a curated record